RNAcentral lists this ribosomal RNA (587 nucleotides) under Pleurotus pulmonarius. RNAcentral's name for it is "partial small subunit ribosomal RNA". It matches the Rfam family "Bacterial small subunit ribosomal RNA", at positions 373 to 949 of the family's 1533-position model. Lineage: Eukaryota; Fungi; Basidiomycota; Agaricomycetes; Agaricales; Pleurotaceae. The record is from RNAcentral.
GCUCGAAAGAGUGAACUAGCUAACUGAAAUCACAUGACUCAUUCUUAUAGGUGGUGAAUGUGAUAAGGUGUAGGGAAAAAAAUGAUAUUACCUCACUAAAAGUGUUGUCCAAAUCUGGUGCCAGAAGACUCGGUAAGACCAGAAACGCAAACGUUAGUCAUCUUAAUCAGGCGUAAAGGGUAUGUAGGCAGCUUUGAAAAUUUUAAUUUUAAUAAUUUUUUUUCUAAAAUGAUUAGCUCUAUUUAUUAAAUAGUAAAAAUAAAAUCAAUUAAAGCUAGAAUCUAAUAGAGGAAAAACCAAAUAAUACUUAGAGUAGGGAUGAUAUCCAUAGAUACUAAGGGGAAUACUAAGGGCGAAAGCUUUUUUUCUAUUAAAGAUUGACGCUGAGAAACGAAGGUGAGAAUAGGAAAUAGGAUUAGAUACCCAGAUACCUCUCACUGUCAACGAUGAAUGGUGGUUGUUAGUUUUAAUAAAAACUGAUGGCGAUGUUAACACGAUAACNAUUCCGCCUUGCGAGUACGGUUGCAAAACUGAAACCAAAAAAAUUAGACGGUCUCGAAGCAAACGAAGUGAAGCAUGUUAUUUAA